UACGGAAGGUCCGGGCGUUAUCCGGAUUUAUUGGGUUUAAAGGGAGCGUAGGCCGUUUGUUAAGCGUGUUGUGAAAUGUCGGGGCUUAACCUGGGCAUUGCAGCGCGAACUGGCAGACUUGAGUGCGCGGGAAGUAGGCGGAAUUCGUCGUGUAGCGGUGAAAUGCUUAGAUAUGACGAAGAACUCCGAUUGCGAAGGCAGCCUGCUGUAGCGUAACUGACGCUGAAGCUCGAAAGCGUGGGUAUCGAACAGG
This 253-nucleotide ribosomal RNA is filed under the name Leyella stercorea DSM 18206. RNAcentral's name for it is "Prevotella stercorea DSM 18206 partial 16S ribosomal RNA". It matches the Rfam family "Bacterial small subunit ribosomal RNA", at positions 524 to 776 of the family's 1533-position model. The record is from RNAcentral. Lineage: Bacteria; Pseudomonadati; Bacteroidota; Bacteroidia; Bacteroidales; Prevotellaceae.